RNAcentral lists this ribosomal RNA (281 nucleotides) under uncultured prokaryote. Its description in RNAcentral is "partial 16S ribosomal RNA". It matches the Rfam family "Bacterial small subunit ribosomal RNA", at positions 505 to 785 of the family's 1533-position model. The record is from RNAcentral.
GUGCCAGCAGCCGCGGUAAUACAGAGGGUGCAAGCGUUAAUCGGAUUUACUGGGCGUAAAGCGUACGUAGGCGGCUAAUUAAGUCGGAUGUGAAAUCCCCGAGCUCAACUUGGGAAUUGCAUUCGAUACUGGUUAGCUAGAGUAUGGGAGAGGAUGGUAGAAUUCCAGGUGUAGCGGUGAAAUGCGUAGAGAUCUGGAGGAAUACCGAUGGCGAAGGCAGCCAUCUGGCCUAAUACUGACGCUGAGGUACGAAAGCAUGGGGAGCAAACAGGAUUAGAAAC